AAUUGACUUACUGCCUCCUGGGCAGUCCUAAGGCAGGACUUCAACUGCCAUUGGUAGAUGUAGAAUUCGGGGAAGGCAAAGGAAGUGACAUAAGAAAAAGUGUCUUUAAAAUGGAGUUACAAUUUCCUAAAUCAAUUUCUAUUGGCAGUUCUUCAUUCCUUGAAGUGGAGGCUGGUAAAGAAUAUGCUGACUGAAGCUAAGACCCUGUUUCCUGGUGAGACUGUUCUAAAAUGUAUUCCUUUGAACUGACACACGGUAUGAAGAAAGAAGCAAGAAGGCAACCCCUUGUUCUGGACUUUUUUUUUUUUCCCCAUGGAUUAUAUCCAUGUUGGUGAAGAUCAGGCAUGCAUGCUCUAGGGUGCCAGAGGGCGCUGCUCCCAUCACCAUCUCUGCCACACCUGAGGACAUUUUUUGCCUGCUCCAUUCAUCAAACUUCUGUCCAGCAAAGCAAUAACUGCCUUCAAAUCACUGACCUCAAGACUUCCAGUAAAGAUGGCAGCUUAGAAGAAGCAAGAGUUCAGACCUCUGAAAACCCUUCCUUACUUAUCACAAACUGAAUGCUCCUAGGAGACUAAAAUUCAAACUUAACAACAGGACAGAGGUGGGGAACCCUCCUUCAGGACUCAAAUCAAAAGGUUCAC
Molecule: long non-coding RNA, 641 nt
Filed under: Monodelphis domestica (gray short-tailed opossum)
Lineage: Eukaryota; Metazoa; Chordata; Mammalia; Didelphimorphia; Didelphidae
Description: lncRNA (ENSMODG00000049803.1)
Source: RNAcentral